This is a long non-coding RNA of Antechinus flavipes (yellow-footed antechinus), 436 nucleotides long. RefSeq lists it as uncharacterized. The transcript has 3 exons. The record is from RefSeq and is a predicted model, not a curated record. Lineage: Eukaryota; Metazoa; Chordata; Mammalia; Dasyuromorphia; Dasyuridae.
CUCAGACAGUACAAGCCGGUCCCUGUGACAUUCUAGACCCCGCCACAGUCAACGGAUCCUGGCAGGCAGCCACCCCUCCCAUCACUUGGCCGAAGCUAAAUCAGCAGCAACACAUCAGCUCUUUAGAAUUACGUGCUUGGUCGUGGGAUUACAAGCAACGACAAUGAGGUUGGUGCAGACUGCUGAGAAGGCUGUCCAAAUGAAUACCAGCUCUGACACUAGCAGUGUGACCAAGGAUUGUGGAAAGAAAAGUAUUUUAUAAAUUGAAGUGAGGAGAGAAGCUGGACUUGGGAAACUCCAGUUUUAAAUCCUGCCUCCGACAUUUGAUAUUGGUGGGAUCUCAGCAGGGAUUAUAUUUGUAUCCCCCCCUUUUCUUUUGGUAUCCCAGCGCUUAGCACAGUGCAUGACACAUGAUAAACAUCUAAUAAAUUUUUAA